RNAcentral lists this long non-coding RNA (331 nucleotides) under Gossypium barbadense (sea-island cotton). RNAcentral's name for it is "long non-coding RNA (GBAR_LNC015041)". Lineage: Eukaryota; Viridiplantae; Streptophyta; Magnoliopsida; Malvales; Malvaceae. The record is from RNAcentral.
AUGUUUUUCCCUCCAAACCCGUCGGCGCAGGUGUUCUCAUCCGUCAAAGCAGCGCUAACCCAUGUCUGUAUAUCGUUAAUCAUUAGUCCAAAAUUGGAGCCUUUAAGCUGACCCAUCUCGCUGAUUGACUUUCUCAGCUCAUCUAUCGUGUCCUCCAAUUCCUCCACGCAAUCUUGCAUGGCGCCCACCUCUGUAGGCUUCAAUCCUUGGCUUUUGGCAAGCUUCACCAUCAAGGCCGAGGUUGACUUGGCGGUUGAAAGGGUCACGUUUAGGGCGGCAUGGGCGAUGAGUUGGGGGCUUGUUUGGAUCAUGCUAGCCUGUGUUAAGAGAG